GUCCUCGAUGCUACCAGGAAGGGAGAUACUGGGAGCAGGCCAGCCUUGCCAAAGCCUCUGCGAUGGGACUGUCAGCAGUCAUCUCGCUUCUCAGACAGCCCCAAGAUGUUAAGACUUCUUCAUCCAGAAUUUAGAUCAUCUAAAUGCAAACCCAUGUCCCUCUGGCCUCUUCUUCUUCUUUCAGGUCUAUUUAUUUGCUCUCACG
Motacilla alba alba is the source of this 205-nucleotide long non-coding RNA. RefSeq lists it as uncharacterized. The transcript has 3 exons. The record is from RefSeq and is a predicted model, not a curated record. NCBI's taxonomy places the organism in Eukaryota, Metazoa, Chordata, Aves, Passeriformes, Motacillidae.